This 494-nucleotide ribosomal RNA is filed under the name uncultured bacterium. RNAcentral's name for it is "partial 16S ribosomal RNA". It matches the Rfam family "Bacterial small subunit ribosomal RNA", at positions 28 to 507 of the family's 1533-position model. The record is from RNAcentral.
GACGAACGCUGGCGGCGCGCUUAACACAUGCAAGUCGAACGGAAAGGCCUGCUUUCCCUUGUGGAUUGCGGGUACUCGAGUGGCGAACGGGUGAGUAACACGUGAGUGAUCUGCCCCCAACUUGGGUAUAAGCCUGGGAAACUGGGUCUAAUUCCCGAUAGGACUGCAGGGUGGUGCCUGUGGUGGAAAACGAUUUUCUAGUGGUUGGGGAUGAGCUCGCGGCCUAUCAGCUUGUUGGUGGGGUAAUGGCCUACCAAGGCGGCGACGGGUAGCCGGCCUGGGAGGGUGGACGGCGACAUUGGGACUGAGAUACGGCCCAGACUCCUACGGGAGGCAGCAGUGGGGAAUAUUGCACAAUGGGCGGAAGCCUGAUGCAGCGACGCCGCGUGGGGGAUGACGGCCUUCGGGUUGUAAACUCCUUUCGACCGCGAGGAAGCCACCUGGUUGGAAGGGUGGUGACGGUAGUGGUAUAAGAAGCACCGGCUAACUACGUG